RNAcentral lists this ribosomal RNA (468 nucleotides) under uncultured bacterium. RNAcentral describes it as "partial 16S ribosomal RNA". It matches the Rfam family "Bacterial small subunit ribosomal RNA", at positions 28 to 507 of the family's 1533-position model. The record is from RNAcentral.
GACGAACGCUGGCGGCGUGCUUAACACAUGCAAGUCGAACGGAAAGGCGCUGCUUUUGCGGGGUGCUCGAGUGGCGAACGGGUGAGUAACACGUGAGUAACCUGCCCUUGACUUUGGGAUAACUUCAGGAAACUGGGGCUAAUACCGGAUAGGAGCUCCUGCUGCAUGGUGGGGGUUGGAAAGUUUCGGCGGUUGGGGAUGGACUCGCGGCUUAUCAGCUUGUUGGGGGGGUAGUGGCUUACCAAGGCUUUGACGGGUAGCCGGCCUGGGAGGGUGACCGGGCACAAUAGGACUGAGGUACGGCCCAGACGCCUACGUGAGGCAGCAGGGGGGAAUAUUGCACAAUGGGCGGAAGCCUGAUGCAGAAACGCCGCGUGCGGGAUGACGGCCUUCGGGUUGUAAACCGCUUUCGCCUGUGACGAAGCGGUAGUGACGGUAAUGAGUAAAGAAGCACCGGCUAACUACGUG